AGAGUUUGAUCAUGGCUCAGAACGUACGCUGGCGGCACGCCUAACACAUGCAAGUCGAACGAAGUAGCAAUACUUAGUGGCAGACGGGUGAGUAACAUGUAGGUAUCUACCCUUUGGCCUGGAAUAACACGAGGAAACUUGUGCUAAUACUGGAUAAGUCUUUACGGAGAAAGCUUUAUGCACCAUUGGAUGAGCCCGCACUUGAUUAGUUUGUUGGUGGGGUAAUGGCCUACCAAGACUUUGAUCAAUAGCUGAUUUGAGAGGAUGAUCAGCCACAUUGGGACUGAGACACGGCCCAAACUCCUACGGGAGGCAGCAGUGGGGAAUCUUGCACAAUGGAGGAAACUCUGAUGCAGCGAUGCCGCGUGAGUGAAGAAGGCCCUUGGGUUGUAAGGCUCUUUCGUCGGGGAAGAAAAUGACUGUACCCGAAUAAGAAGGUCCGGCUAACUUCGUGCCAGCAGCCGCGGUAAUACGAAGGGACCUAGCGUAGUUCGGAAUUACUGGGCUUAAAGAGUUCGUAGGUGGUUGAAAAAGUUGGUGGUGAAAUCCCAGAGCUUAACUCUGGAACUGCCAUCAAAACUUUUCAGCUAGAGUUUGAUAGAGGAAAGCAGAAUUUCUAGUGUAGAGGUGAAAUUCGUAGAUAUUAGAAAGAAUACCAAUUGCGAAGGCAGCUUUCUGGAUCAUUACUGACACUGAGGAACGAAAGCAUGGGUAGCGAAGAGGAUUAGAUACCCUCGUAGUCCAUGCCGUAAACGAUGUGUGUUAGACGUUGGAAAUUUAUUUUCAGUGUCGCAGCGAAAGCGAUAAACACACCGCCUGGGGAGUACGACCGCAAGGUUAAAACUCAAAUGAAUUGACGGGGACCCGCACAAGUAGUGGAGCAUGUGGUUUAAUUCGAAGAUACGCGCAGAACCUUACCAACACUUGACAUGUUCGUCGCGACUUUAAGAGAUUAAAGUUUUCGGUUCGGCCGGACGAAACACAGGUGCUGCAUGGCUGUCGUCAGCUCGUGUCGUGAGAUGUUGGGUUAAGUCCCGCAACGAGCGCAACCCUCACUUUUAGUUGCCAUCAUUUAGUUGGGCACUCUGAAAGAACUGCCAGUGAUAAGCUGGAGGAAGGUGGGGAUGACGUCAAGUCCUCAUGGCCCUUACGUGUUGGGCUACACACGUGCUACAAUGGUAUCUACAACAGGAAGCGAAACAGCGAUGUUAAGCAAAUCCUUAAAAGAUACCUCAGUUCGGAUUGCACUCUGCAACUCGAGUGCAUGAAGCUGGAAUUACUAGUAAUCGUGGAUCAGCGUGCCACGGUGAAUACGUUCCCG
RNAcentral lists this ribosomal RNA (1321 nucleotides) under uncultured bacterium. RNAcentral's name for it is "bacterial SSU rRNA". It matches the Rfam family "Bacterial small subunit ribosomal RNA", at positions 8 to 1376 of the family's 1533-position model. The record is from RNAcentral.